RNAcentral lists this non-coding RNA (23 nucleotides) under Bos taurus (domestic cattle). The record is from RNAcentral. Lineage: Eukaryota; Metazoa; Chordata; Mammalia; Artiodactyla; Bovidae. RNAcentral also lists the same sequence under 2 other names.
UCACUCAGUAAGUGCUAGCUAUU